Molecule: long non-coding RNA, 815 nt
Organism: Ahaetulla prasina
Lineage: Eukaryota; Metazoa; Chordata; Lepidosauria; Squamata; Colubridae
Exons: 3
Source: RefSeq, a predicted model, not a curated record
CAACCAACAAAAUCACAUCUCCUAUGAACACAGUGAGAGCUUUCUGUAUACAAGUUAUACCUGAUCGACCAUCUGCUCAAAGUAGUAGGUGCUAUUGCAAUCAUGUUUGAACAUUCUGUCUGCUCUAUGUGGAAUACCACCUGCAGUUACUGAACUGGUGACAACCAGAGGAUCCAGAAGUUCAUGAAAGGAGGAGGAGAGUAGUAGUAGCUGUUAAUGAGUAUGAUUUGGCUGCUGCUUCUCAACAUGCUUUCUGUCUUCCUAAAGCCAGGAUUCUCCUGUCCUUAGAAGCCAGACCAAUUCAGAGUCUGACCCAUUUGGAUACUGCUCUUCCCAGUGUGGAUUAUUCAUUGAGGUUCCUGGAUCACCCAUGGAGAAGAUUUUAAAAAGACUUCCCAUUAUGAUAGUCUUAAAAUGAUUGCCUUCAAAAUGUCUUUGUCAAGCCCCAGCCAGGACUUGACAUUUGGUGGGGAAGGCGAGGGGCAGAUGAAGCCACCAGAGCUACCUGUAGUGACCUCUGGUGGCAGGGGGUCGUCUGGGCGGCAGACGGCAUCUGCAAUGGACGGGAAGCAGCUGAAACGAAGGGACAGCGGCUGACUCUGAUGAUGUCAUGCAUCACACACUGGGGAAGACAGAGACGCUCCACAGAGGCGGGAAUAUUAAAACUGACGAAUAGCUAAUGGGGGUUGGUCUUAGCCGCUGGAUGGUGGCUUAAGACAAACAGCAUGUAUAAAUAGCGCUGAGAGGCGGCUGCUCUCAGCACUAACUUUGACCCUGUAACUUGACUUGUUCUGUAUUCUGGCUGAGGUUACUCA